GAUGAACGCUGGCGGCGUGCCUAAUACAUGCAAGUCGAGCGAACAGACGAGGAGCUUACUCCUCUGACGUUAGCGGCGGACGGGUGAGUAACACGUGGAUAACCUACCUAUAAGACUGGGAUAACUUCGGGAAACCGGAGCUAAUACCGGAUAAUAUAUUGAACCGCAUGGUUCAAUAGUGAAAGACGGUUUUGCUGUCACUUAUAGAUGGAUCCGCGCCGCAUUAGUUAGUUGGUAAGGUAACGGCUUACCAAGGCAACGAUGCGUAGCCGACCUGAGAGGGUGAUCGGCCACACUGGAACUGAGACACGGUCCAGACUCCUACGGGAGGCAGCAGUAGGGAAUCUUCCGCAAUGGGCGAAAGCCUGACGGAGCAACGCCGCGUGAGUGAUGAAGGUCUUCGGAUCGUAAAACUCUGUUAUUAGGGAAGAACAAAUGUGUAAGUAACUAUGCACGUCUUGACGGUACCUAAUCAGAAAGCCACGGCUAACUACGUG
This 497-nucleotide ribosomal RNA is filed under the name uncultured bacterium. RNAcentral describes it as "partial 16S ribosomal RNA". It matches the Rfam family "Bacterial small subunit ribosomal RNA", at positions 28 to 507 of the family's 1533-position model. The record is from RNAcentral.